ACGGAGGGUGCGAGCGUUAUCCGGAUUCACUGGGUUUAAAGGGUGCGUAGGUGGGCAGGAAAGUCAGUGGUGAAAUCUCCGGGCUUAACCCGGAAACUGCCGUUGAUACUAUUUGUCUUGAAUACCGUGGAGAUGAGCGGAAUAUGUCAUGUAGCGGUGAAAUGCUUAGAUAUGACAUAGAACACCAAUUGCGAAGGCAGCUCGUUACACGAAUAUUGACUCUGAGGCUCGAAAGCGUGGGGAUCAAACAGGA
RNAcentral lists this ribosomal RNA (253 nucleotides) under uncultured prokaryote. RNAcentral's name for it is "partial 16S ribosomal RNA". It matches the Rfam family "Bacterial small subunit ribosomal RNA", at positions 525 to 777 of the family's 1533-position model. The record is from RNAcentral.